AUGCCUAAGAAACAACAACUCCAACAACAACAACAACAACAACAACAACAACAACAACAGCAGCAAAAACAAAAGCAUGACAAGAAUCAGCAAGAUGUCGAACUGAACCGGCUCGUCCGACACUCCCCUCUCCCUCCCCCUCACCACCCUCAGCUCCGGUCCCGCUCCCCGUCUCCAUCCUCCCCCAACGGUAGCGCCCUCGAACUGCCCAAUGUGCCAUCCUACCCACGCCUGCCGCCAAUUUUCAGCCCCCUAUCAAAACAGCCCAACUCACUGUCCCACCAGCUGUCAGGUCUCUCCAAUCCGGCAUUUUUCAUUGAAGAUGACUCAGACAUUUCCGCAAUAAGGCCCCCAGAGAGCUCUAGCCUCAGCCUUCGUCCAGCUGUCAAUGUAGAGGAUGUCGACUCAGAGCGUGAGAAGGGAGGGGCAGGAGGAGGAGGAGGAAGAAGAGGAGGAAGAGGGGAGGAACAGAGCAAUAUCCCCCAAAUUCUCACCACCCAGGACCCCAAACUUACCACUCUCACUGUCCCUGUGACCCCUUCCGUAGCUCGUCAAAGAAACCACGUUACCUGUUGCUUAGGAAAAUCUGAAAUUUCUUUCAAUUUGGUCCCAAGGUUAAGAAAUCUUUCCUGCACAUAAACGACAGUAAGAGCCGCAAACCACACCAGCAAACACGCAGUGUUUAUGCAGAACACAGUUUGUCACGUGAAUCAUUGUGGAAACCAAAUUCUUUGUUUGUGUUGUUGUGAUGUUCUGUUUGAUUUUGCAUGGCUUUCCCAGAUUUUGCGCUUUUGGCUCCUGUGUGAAUAUCGCCAUAUCGUAG
RNAcentral lists this long non-coding RNA (823 nucleotides) under Sander lucioperca (pikeperch). RNAcentral's name for it is "lncRNA (ENSSLUG00000009324.1)". Lineage: Eukaryota; Metazoa; Chordata; Actinopteri; Perciformes; Percidae. The record is from RNAcentral.